UACAGAGGUCCCGAGCGUUGUUCGGAUUCACUGGGCGUAAAGGGUGCGUAGGUGGCGUGGUAAGUUUGAUGUGAAAGCUCAGGGCUUAACCCUGAAAUGGCAUUGAAUACUACUGUGCUGGAGGUUUGGAGGGGGGACUGGAAUUCUUGGUGUAGCAGUGAAAUGCGCAGAUAUCAGGAGGAACACCAGCGGCGAAGGCGGCGCUCUGGGCCGGUACUGACACUGAGGAGCGAAAGCGUGGGUAGCAAACAGG
RNAcentral lists this ribosomal RNA (253 nucleotides) under uncultured bacterium. Its description in RNAcentral is "partial 16S ribosomal RNA". It matches the Rfam family "Bacterial small subunit ribosomal RNA", at positions 524 to 776 of the family's 1533-position model. The record is from RNAcentral.